GAGUACCUGCACUACCUCAGUGAGCGAGAUGCCCGUAAGAUCCUCAUCGCAGACCUGAAUGAGCUGCGGUACCAGCGGGAGGACAUGUCAUUAGCCCAGUCACCAGGCAUCUGGGGGGAGGACCCUGUGAAGUUAACCCUGGCUCUUACGAUGACCCGGCAAGACCUGACCCGCACGCAGAUGGAACUCAACACCAUGAAGGCCAACUUUGGAGAUGUGGUCCCCAGGAGGGACUUUGAAAUGCAGGAGAAGACCAACAAGCAUCUUCAGGAGCAGGUGCUGGCAAGCAGGCAGGGCCAGGAGGGUAGGACGGGGUCUCACAGGUGGGGGGCCAGGGCCAAUGUCCUUGCCCACAGCUGGACACCCUGAGAGCCAGCUACGAGGAGGUUCGCAAGGAGCAUGAGAUCCUCAUGCAGCUGCACAUGAGCACGCUGAAGGAACGGGACCAAUUCUUCUCUGAGCUGCAGGAGAUCCAGCGCACUUCCACGCCGCGGCCUGACUGGACCAAGUGCAAAGAUGUGGUGGCUGGGGGCCCAGAUCGCUGGCAGAUGCUGGCUGAGGGCAAGAACAGCGACCAGCUGGUGGACGUGCUCCUGGAAGAGAUUGGUUCGGGGCUGCUGCGGGA
This 625-nucleotide long non-coding RNA is filed under the name Pan troglodytes (chimpanzee). Its description in RNAcentral is "long non-coding RNA NONPTRT006092". Lineage: Eukaryota; Metazoa; Chordata; Mammalia; Primates; Hominidae. The record is from RNAcentral.